Molecule: ribosomal RNA, 490 nt
Filed under: uncultured bacterium
Lineage: Bacteria
Description: partial 16S ribosomal RNA
Rfam family: Bacterial small subunit ribosomal RNA
Source: RNAcentral
GAUGAACGCUAGCUACAGGCUUAACACAUGCAAGUCGAGGGGCAGCAUGGUCUUAGCUUGCUAAGGCCGAUGGCGACCGGCGCACGGGUGAGUAACACGUAUCCAACCUGCCGUCUACUCUUGGACAGCCUUCUGAAAGGAAGAUUAAUACAAGAUGGCAUCAUGAGUCCGCAUGUUCACAUGAUUAAAGGUAUUCCGGUAGACGAUGGGGAUGCGUUCCAUUAGAUAGUAGGCGGGGUAACGGCCCACCUAGUCUUCGAUGGAUAGGGGUUCUGAGAGGAAGGUCCCCCACAGUGGAACUGAGACACGGUCCAAACUCCUACGGGAGGCAGCAGUGAGGAAUAUUGGUCAAUGGGCGAGAGCCUGAACCAGCCAAGUAGCGUGAAGGAUGACUGCCCUAUGGGUUGUAAACUUCUUUUAGAAAGGAAUAAAGUCGGGUAUGGAUACCCGUUUGCAUGUACUUUAUGAAUAAGGAUCGGCUAACUCCGUG